Molecule: long non-coding RNA, 302 nt
Filed under: Capsicum annuum
Lineage: Eukaryota; Viridiplantae; Streptophyta; Magnoliopsida; Solanales; Solanaceae
Description: long non-coding RNA (CANN_LNC003009)
Source: RNAcentral
UCCAUCAUCAGGUUCCUUAACAACUUCAAUCUUCUUCAUUCUCUCCCGUUUGUUAUAUCAUCUGCAUCUACAUACUUUAGAGAUUGAAUUUCCUCCCUUUUUGUACAUUGCUCUUCAGCUUUUAUAGGCAACGAAGAUGUCAUAAUAAUCGGCAAUUGAAUUUCCUCCCUUUUCCUACAUUCCUCUUCAGCUUUCACAAGCAAAGAAGAAGAUGUCUUAAUAAUCGAAACUUGAAUUUCAAUUAUUUUCCUAUCACUAGGAUACCCAUAACCAGUUACUGAAGUAGAAGGGUUCAGUAUUUU